GAUGAACGCUGGCGGCGUGCCUAAUACAUGCCAGUAGAACGCUGAAGGAAGGAGCUUGCUCUUUCCGGAUGAGUUGCGAACGGGUGAGUAACGCGUAGGUAACCUGCCUGGUAGCGGGGGAUAACUAUUGGAAACGAUAGCUAAUACCGCAUAACAGUAGAUGUUGCAUGAUAUCUACUUAAAAGGUGCAAUUGCACUACUACCAGAUGGACCUGCGUUGUAUUAGCUAGUUGGUGAGGUAACGGCUCACCAAGGCGACGAUACAUAGCCGACCUGAGAGGGUGAUCGGCCACACUGGGACUGAGACACGGCCCAGACUCCUACGGGAGGCAGCAGUAGGGAAUCUUCGGCAAUGGACGGAAGUCUGACCGAGCAACGCCGCGUGAGUGAAGAAGGGUUUCGGAUCGUAAAGCUCUGUUGUAAGAGAAGAACGAGUGUGAGAGUGGAAAGUUCACACUGUGACGGUAUCUUACCAGAAAGGGACGGCUAACUACGUG
Molecule: ribosomal RNA, 497 nt
Filed under: uncultured bacterium
Lineage: Bacteria
Description: partial 16S ribosomal RNA
Rfam family: Bacterial small subunit ribosomal RNA
Source: RNAcentral